AGCUCCAAUAGCGUAUAUUAAAGUUGCUGCAGUUAAAAAGCUCGUAGUUGGAUUUGUGGCGCGGCCGUCCGGCGGGGCUCCUUCAUUGGGGCCGUUUGUCUGGUUUUUCGGCCGCUCCAUUCUCGGGAAGCGGGUUGCUGGCAUUAGGUUGUCGGCGGCUUCGCGCCCGUCUUUUACUGUGAAAAAAUUAGAGUGUUCAAAGCAGGCUUAGGCCGUUGGAUAUAUUAGCAUGGAAUAAUGAGAUAAGGCCGCGGUGGUCUUUUCUGUUGGUUUGCCACACGCCGCAAUGGUAAAAAGGAACAGUUGGGGGUAUUCGUAUUCAACUGUCAGAGGUGAAAUUCUUGGAUUUGUGGAAGACGAACUACUGCGAAAGCAUUUACCAAGGAUGUUUUCAUUAAUC
RNAcentral lists this ribosomal RNA (400 nucleotides) under phytoplankton environmental sample. RNAcentral's name for it is "partial small subunit ribosomal RNA". It matches the Rfam family "Eukaryotic small subunit ribosomal RNA", at positions 587 to 978 of the family's 1831-position model. The record is from RNAcentral.